RNAcentral lists this long non-coding RNA (1081 nucleotides) under Homo sapiens (human). RNAcentral describes it as "HSALNT0102369". Lineage: Eukaryota; Metazoa; Chordata; Mammalia; Primates; Hominidae. The record is from RNAcentral.
UUUACUACUGCACCUCCCCAGGAAAUCUCUCCUCUUGCCUGCGAUCGUUUACUGUGGUGCUUCAGAUUCACCCGUGUUGUGUAUGCCCGUGCACGCCACCCAUGCAAAGACUUGCAAGUGAGGGAAGCAGAAUCCACCACUUCGACUCAAAGGAGUCUCUCUGGAGCCUCGGCUCUGGUCUCUGUUUACACUGAACCUUAAAACGCUAAAUGUGGUGCCUUUGCUCCACUAGACACCUGGGAAGGGGGCUGUGACAAUUGCAGUCCAAUUCAUAUCAUGGCAAGAGUAUUUUAAAACGGUGGUUUACAGUGUUUAAGAAAGCCUAUUAGUCAGCUGGGAUUUCUGCUGCAGGUCGUCAGAGAGUAGAGUUAAGAAGAGCUAGCUGCAUGUCUGCGUUUUGGGUUUUGAAAUACUUUGGUUUCUUGAGCCACACUAUCGCAGACUUCACUGCAUUUUCAAACAACACAGUGCCUUACGGAAAGGAGCAUAAAGAGGAGUGAGCCGUGAUUCGGCUGUUAUGUAUAAGAUGUUUUCCAGCCUCUGUAUCUCUUCUGGAAGAAUGAAGAUUAGCUCAGUUCCCUCCCAUCCUCCUUCCUUUUCUCCCUCUGGCUGGAGGUCUGGACAUAUUCUCUUCACUACUCAGCAACAUUUCUCUUUUAUCCUACAGAUACCAGUCAGGUCCCAAUCAGCUUAAAACCAGAGUCUCCUGAACAGAGAUCGUGACUACAGCACAGCGAUGCUUCCAUUAGCCAAGAGGGUGCAUUCCACAGGCACAUGUUAUCAGAACCUUCAUAAUCAGAGUCAGAAGUAAUAUAGGACAGUGAAAGGAGAGUUCUGUGAUGCUAGAUCAGGGCACUUCUGGUACUAAAAGAAAAGAAGUCUUCCAUUGUUAAAGUAAGGUCCAGUAGAUAUUUGUGAGAAAAUAUAAAAUAUUUAUUUUACAUGUGUAUAUGUAUGUCUAGGUGUUCUAGUCCUAAGGGGAAGAAUUGAUUAAUAGAUCAAUUGAGUGAUCGACAAUCAGAAGCCAGAAGAAAGCCUGCAGAGAGAGGAUUGUCAGCUAAGGCUAUUCUUUUAAGAGUAG